GUGGGGAAUCUUGCGCAAUGGGCGAAAGCCUGACGCAGCCAUGCCGCGUGAAUGAUGAAGGUCUUAGGAUUGUAAAAUUCUUUCACCGGGGACGAUAAUGACGGUACCCGGAGAAGAAGCUCCGGCUAACUUCGUGCCAGCAGCCGCGGUAAUACGAAGGGGGCUAGCGUUGCUCGGAAUUACUGGGCGUAAAGGGCGCGUAGGCGGACAGCUUAGUCAGAGGUGAAAGCCCAGGGCUCAACCUUGGAAUUGCCUUUGAUACUGGCUGUCUUGAGUUUGGGAGAGGUGAGUGGAACUCCGAGUGUAGAGGUGAAAUUCGUAGAUAUUCGGAAGAACACCAGUGGCGAAGGCGACAUACUGGUCCAUUACUGACGCUGAGGCUCGAAAGCGUGGGGAGCAAACAGGAUUAGAAACCCCAGUAGUCC
RNAcentral lists this ribosomal RNA (425 nucleotides) under uncultured bacterium. RNAcentral describes it as "partial 16S ribosomal RNA". It matches the Rfam family "Bacterial small subunit ribosomal RNA", at positions 354 to 796 of the family's 1533-position model. The record is from RNAcentral.